RNAcentral lists this ribosomal RNA (495 nucleotides) under uncultured bacterium. Its description in RNAcentral is "partial 16S ribosomal RNA". It matches the Rfam family "Bacterial small subunit ribosomal RNA", at positions 30 to 507 of the family's 1533-position model. The record is from RNAcentral.
UGAACGCUGGCGGCGUGCCUAAUACAUGCAAAUCGAGCGAACGGACGAGAAGCUUGCUUCUCUGAUGUUAGCGGCGGACGGGUGAGUAACACGUGGAUAACCUACCUAUAAGACUGGGAUAACUUCGGGAAACCGGAGCUAAUACCGGAUGAUAUUUUGAACCGCAUGGUUCAAAAGUGAAAGACGGUCUUGCUGUCACUUAUAGAUGGAUCCGCGCUGCAUUAGCUAGUUGGUAAGGUAACGGCUUACCAAGGCAACGAUGCAUAGCCGACCUGAGAGGGUGAUCGGCCACACUGGAACUGAGACACGGUCCAGACUCCUACGGGAGGCAGCAGUAGGGAAUCUUCCGCAAUGGGCGAAAGCCUGACGGAGCAACGCCGCGUGAGUGAUGAAGGUCUUCGGAUCGUAAAACUCUGUUAUUAGGGAAGAACAUAUGUGUAAGUAACUGUGCACAUCUUGACGGUACCUAAUCAGAAAGCCACGGCUAACUACGUG